Molecule: ribosomal RNA, 516 nt
Filed under: uncultured microorganism
Description: bacterial SSU rRNA
Rfam family: Bacterial small subunit ribosomal RNA
Source: RNAcentral
GAGUUUGAUCGUGGCUCAGGAUGAACGCUGGCGGCGUGCUUAACACGUGCAAGUCGAACGGGCUCAUAUUGAAACCUAGUGAUUUAUGAGUUAGUGGCGGACGGGUGAGUAACGCGUGGAGAACCUGCCGUAUACUGGGGGGAUAACACUUAGAAAUAGGUGCUAAUACCGCAUAAGCGCACAGCUUCGCAUGAAGUGGUGUGAAAAACUCUGGUGGUAUACGAUGGUUCCGCGUCUGAUUAGCUUGUUGGCGGGGUAAUGGCUCACCAAGGCGACGAUCAGUAGCCGGCCUGAGAGGGUGAACGGCCACAUUGGGACUGAGACACGGCCCAAACUCCUACGGGAGGCAGCAGUGGGGAAUAUUGCACAAUGGGGGAAACCCUGAUGCAGCGACGCCGCGUGAGUGAAGAAGUAUUUCGGUAUGUAAAGCUCUAUCAGCAGGGAAGAAAUAGCGACCUUUGGGUCGCCAGACGGUACCUGAUUAAGAAGCCCCGGCUAACUACGUGCCAGCCGCCG